UACAGAGGUCUCGAGCGUUAGGCGGAAUCACUGGGCUUAAAGCGUGUGUAGGCGGGUCGUUAAGUACCUUGUGAAAUCCCAUGGCUCAACCAUGGAACUGCUGGGUAUACUGGCGAUCUUGUGCAACCUAGGGGCGAGCGGAACAGAUGGUGGAGCGGUGAAAUGCGUAGAUAUCGGGAGGAACACCAGUGGCGAAGGCGGCUGUCUGGGCCAGUUCUGACGCUGAGGCGCGAAAGCGUGGGGAGCAAACAGG
This 253-nucleotide ribosomal RNA is filed under the name uncultured bacterium. Its description in RNAcentral is "partial 16S ribosomal RNA". It matches the Rfam family "Bacterial small subunit ribosomal RNA", at positions 524 to 776 of the family's 1533-position model. The record is from RNAcentral.